Molecule: RNase P RNA, 260 nt
Filed under: Lachnospiraceae bacterium
Lineage: Bacteria; Bacillati; Bacillota; Clostridia; Lachnospirales; Lachnospiraceae
Description: partial RNase P RNA component class A
Rfam family: Bacterial RNase P class A
About the family: Ribonuclease P (RNase P) is a ubiquitous endoribonuclease, found in archaea, bacteria and eukarya as well as chloroplasts and mitochondria. Its best characterised activity is the generation of mature 5'-ends of tRNAs by cleaving the 5'-leader elements of precursor-tRNAs. Cellular RNase Ps are ribonucleoproteins.
Source: RNAcentral
ACGUCCGGUAGAGGUGACUCUCAGGAAAGUGCAACAGAAAAUAACCGCCGCGCAAGCGGUAAGGGUGAAAAGGCGGUGUAAGAGACCACCGCUUAUCCGGUAACGGGUAAGGCUGUGUAAACCCCAUCCGAAGCAAGACCAGACAGAGCCUAUAAUUUUGCCCGACUUGGCUCAGGUAGGUUGCUUGAAAUUCAUGGUAACAUGGAUUCUAGACAGAUGAUCGUUCAAGACAGAACCCGGCUUACAGUUCCACUCGCUUA